AAAGCCCGACUUAGUUAUAAUCAAUCAGGGCCGGCAAAUCUCGUGCCAGCCGCCGCGGUUAUACGAGAGGCCCAAAACAACGACAAACGGCGUAAAUUGUGGCUAGAAUAACAGCUAGUAACUAAGAAAUAAACCACUACCUUACCGUAAAACACAGGUAAAAUGAAAUCUCUUACCCCAAGCAAUUUGAACCCACGAAAACUAAGAAACAAACUAGGAUUAGAUACCCUACUAUGCUUAGUCGUAAAUAAGACGCUCCCUAACACAAGCGUCCGCCAGAGGACUACAAGCGAAAAGCUUAAAACUCAAAAGACUUGGCGGUGUCCCAAACCCGACUUAGAGGAGCCUGUCCUAUAAUCGAUAAUCCACGAUAAACCCGACCACCCCUUGCCAACCAGCCUAUAUACCGCCGUCGCAAACCUACCUUACAAAAGAACAACAGUAGGUAUAACAGUAAAACCACUAAAACGUCAGGUC
RNAcentral lists this ribosomal RNA (477 nucleotides) under Microlophus grayii. RNAcentral describes it as "partial 12S ribosomal RNA". It matches the Rfam family "Bacterial small subunit ribosomal RNA", at positions 464 to 1191 of the family's 1533-position model. Lineage: Eukaryota; Metazoa; Chordata; Lepidosauria; Squamata; Tropiduridae. The record is from RNAcentral.